Molecule: ribosomal RNA, 377 nt
Filed under: Starmerella bacillaris
Lineage: Eukaryota; Fungi; Ascomycota; Dipodascomycetes; Dipodascales; Trichomonascaceae
Description: partial large subunit ribosomal RNA
Rfam family: Eukaryotic large subunit ribosomal RNA
Source: RNAcentral
AGUGGACAAGUAAGACUCAGUAUUGUUGAAAGUGCACUUUUGUGCCGUUGUAUGUCUGAAGUUAGGGUCCUGAGAAACGAUGCUUAAGUCUUCUGGAAAGGAGCGCCAUGGAGGGUGAUAGCCCCGUCUAGCAUUGACCUCAUAUAGGAUCUUAACAUGGAGUCGAGUUGUUUGGGAAUUCAACUCAAUUGGGUGGUAUGCUCCAUCUAAAGCUAAAUAUCUGCGAGAGACCGAUAGUAAACAAGUACUGUGAGGGAAAGAUGAAAAGAACUUUGAAAAGAAGUGAAAAGUACGUGAAAUUGUUGAAUGGAAGGUUGCCCUAACCUGUAAACCUGUUUGGGGGGAAAAGAUUGCUGUAAUUUUACCCCGCAAAUUUU